CCCUUGGAAUUACAUUCUAAUUGUGGGAGCACUCUACCUAAUCAGCAUCACCUGCUGUCUCAGUCUUAACUAUAGGCGGCAUUUAGAGGAAAAUGCAGUACUUUCCCCUUAUCCGCAGUUUCGCUUUCCACAGUUUUAGUUCCCACUGUCACCUGAGGUCUGGAAGCCAGCGAUCCUCCUUCUGACGAAUCAUCAGAAGGUUAAUAGCAGUCUGACUCUACCUCGCAAUGCCUGCAUCUUUCACCGGGCUUGGUCUCCUUACACAGGCGUUUUAUCAUCUCCCGACAUCAGAACAAGAAUGUCCAAACUGGAAAUUUUCCAGGAGGUGGUCUAUUUGCAACUGACAAAAGUCAAAAGUUUGUGGUGUUCCAAGAAUUGAAACAGGAAAUGUGCAUGGGUCCUGCUUCCUUCAAGGUCUGUCCAACUCCAUUUUGACUGGAAGUCACUCAUGAUCCCUUUCAGAAGGAAUUGUCAGCACAAACAAUGCAGAUUACAAGAUGAGAAAAUCCAAAACAAAGCACAUGCACAAACCUCCCAGUUCUGGAGGUUGGGGAGUCCAAGAUCAAGAUGCCAGCAGAUAUGGUAUGUGAGAGCCUACUUCCUGGUUUAUAGAUGGCCAUCUUUUCACUGUGUUCUUUCUGCGUGAUGGAAGAGGUAGCUACUAUCCAACUUAUCCAAGUUUAAGCCAUAAGAAAAUGCAUGGACUUCUGUACCUGAGAAGAAACUGGAAAGAAAAAAAAAUAACACAGAAUCCAAGCAUGAGCUGAAGAAACUGGAGCCCCAGGAACUGAAGGGACAUCAGACUGCAGCUAGGCUGUCGUGGACAAGCUGACUUCGAAUCAAAACUAAACCACACUAAACUAAAAUUACACAAAGCAUGAGAUUGAGAUAAGGGGAUGACAAGUAUCCAGCUGCAAUCUGCUAAAUAACAUGAUGAUAAAUAUGGGCUCUAUUGCUCCAAUAACAUUGCCGCAGACUUAUCAGAUCAGAAGGUUUUUUGGAUCCAUCUGAAUAAGAGGAGUACCUGAUAGACUUUUCACCUAUGGAAGGCUGACAGCAAGGAGAGAAAGCAGAAACUUCCUUUGGCUUUAUCAUAAUGCUGAUGAGGAGGAAGAGGGGAAGAAUCAAGAGUGCUUCAACCUUUGCAUGGAAAUCACAUAUGUAACAUGAAAGUAUUUCUCUGCUAACUAUUAUCUAUUAAUUUGGGGGAGAGUUAGGAGGACUAUAUGUUUUGAAUCCCCAAUAACUGCCAGGCAUAAUAGCAGGCAUUUUGGCUAACGAAAAAGAACUAACAUUUGCUAAAUGUCUCUAGAUACUAGAAACCAGGCUCCUUUCAAUAUAUACAUUUCAUUGAAUCCACUAAUCCUCAGAAUGUGAAACCUUCUUUUUGGCAAGUGAAGAAAUAAUUUCCAAAGGUUUGCAGACAAAGCGAGUAAGUAGAAGAGGCAGGGAUUAAACAGGUCUGAACAAUCACCACAUUUUACUCUUUCAAAAAUACCAAGUUAGUACAACCAGGAAAGUAAAAAUCCUAUUAACAACUAGGGGAUCAUCGAUACAGCACUUCUUAGAGUUAUUAUAUUAUUAACAUUUUUUUCAAAUGCAGUUUCUAUAUUGAAGGGAAUGUAAUAUGCAAAUAUUUUAAAGGGUCUUACAGGUAAUUAAAAAUAUCAAAGACAUUAAAAAGCAUGCCAGGUAUUUUUGUUUUCAUUCCAAAAUUUUUCAACAAACCUUUUUUUUUUCUUUUUAAGCCUAAGGUAAAUUUCAGAACAACCAUUAUCAACAUUAUUUAAAUCUCUUAAUAGAUGGAGACUAAAGUAUUAAAGUUGUAUCACUAUGGAUGAAGAGCUUCAUUCUCUUAGAAUGGCUGUCUUGUCAAUUCUCUGAAUUUAUUUCAUAAUUGCUGAUACACAUCUUCUUACAUAAUCCUACCACUUAAGAGAAUGGCUGGAGGCCUACCCAUUUCUCAUCCAGGUUUUUUCAAAUCUCUCCUCUCUCAUCUGAUCUCAUAGUUUCUCUGCUGUUUUUGUCUGGUGACCAUCCUCACUAAAUACAUUAGGUUCUAGACUUUUUUUUUAAUAUCAAAGCUAUUUCUCCUGGUAUGUUCUAAGCAUAUUGAGGGAAAGGACAAAAUGUUAUCAUUUUUUCUAUCAUUUACAAUACCCAUUAACAGGCAGAUACCAAAAGAGAUACAUGACAGUCAAGAACUAUGGAGUAGAUUUAAGAUCAAAUGUAUAGGUUUGUGAUCAAAUCCUUUUGUGUCACUUACUUAGCUGUGCAAACUUAAGCAAAUUAAUUAACUCUCAUUUAUAAAAUGGAAACCCAAAAGCUUUACAGGUUUUUUCAUGAAACUUUAUAAAGUUGUCUCACAGCCCUUAUUUUCAAAGAAUAGCCAGUGGUUAUUAGAAAUAUACCAAUAGUAUACAUUGAAUAAAUUACUUAGCCUUGUUAAGGCAUAGUUUUCUUGUCCACAAAAUGAAUAUGAAAAUAAUUGUUAUCUCGCAGGACUAUAAUGGCUAUUAAAUAAGGUGAUAUAACUACAUUUCUUAGCAGAGUGUUUCCAUAAAUGUUCAACUAUUUCAGCAGUUUGGCCACGUGCCCCAAAAUGACACCUGACAUUCCGUCUUAUUAAAUCCAGUCUACUUCCUCAGUCCCUGCGUGCUUUGCUUAUCCUGGAAGAAGUCUAGAACUUCAAGUAGAAGAGAAGAGGACAGAAGUUGUCUGCUAGAACAAGAACAAAUG
Long non-coding RNA from Acinonyx jubatus (cheetah), 2739 nucleotides. RefSeq lists it as uncharacterized. The transcript has 7 exons. Lineage: Eukaryota; Metazoa; Chordata; Mammalia; Carnivora; Felidae. The record is from RefSeq and is a predicted model, not a curated record.